This 253-nucleotide ribosomal RNA is filed under the name uncultured bacterium. Its description in RNAcentral is "partial 16S ribosomal RNA". It matches the Rfam family "Bacterial small subunit ribosomal RNA", at positions 524 to 776 of the family's 1533-position model. The record is from RNAcentral.
UACGGAGGAUCCGAGCGUUAUCCGGAUUUAUUGGGUUUAAAGGGAGCGUAGGUGGAUUGUUGAGUCAGUUGUGAAAGUUUGCGGCUCAACCGUAAAAUUGCAGUUGAAACUGGCAGUCUUGAGUACAGUAGAGGUGGGCGGAAUUCGUGGUGUAGCGGUGAAAUGCUUAGAUAUCACGAAGAACUCCGAUUGCGAAGGCAGCUCACUGGACUGCAACUGACACUGAGGCUCGAAAGUGUGGGUAUCAAACAGG